CAAGUCGAACGGCAGCACAGGAGAGCUUGCUCUCUGGGUGGCGAGUGGCGGACGGGUGAGGAAUACAUCGGAAUCUACUCUGUCGUGGGGGAUAACGUAGGGAAACUUACGCUAAUACCGCAUACGACCUACGGGUGAAAGCAGGGGAUCUUCGGACCUUGCGCGAUUGAAUGAGCCGAUGUCGGAUUAGCUAGUUGGCGGGGUAAAGGCCCACCAAGGCGACGAUCCGUAGCUGGUCUGAGAGGAUGAUCAGCCACACUGGAACUGAGACACGGUCCAGACUCCUACGGGAGGCAGCAGUGGGGAAUAUUGGACAAUGGGCGCAAGCCUGAUCCAGCCAUACCGCGUGGGUGAAGAAGGCCUUCGGGUUGUAAAGCCCUUUUGUUGGGAAAGAAAUCCAGCUGGCUAAUACCCGGUUGGGAUGACGGUACCCAAAGAAUAAGCACCGGCUAACUUCGUGCCAGCAGCCGCGGUAAUACGAAGGGUGCAAGCGUUACUCGGAAUUACUGGGCGUAAAGCGUGCGUAGGUGGUCGUUUAAGUCCGUUGUGAAAGCCCUGGGCUCAACCUGGGAACUGCAGUGGAUACUGGGCGACUAGAGUGUGGUAGAGGGUAGCGGAAUUCCUGGUGUAGCAGUGAAAUGCGUAGAGAUCAGGAGGAACAUCCAUGGCGAAGGCAGCUACCUGGACCAACACUGACACUGAGGCACGAAAGCGUGGGGAGCAAA
This 725-nucleotide ribosomal RNA is filed under the name uncultured Pseudomonadota bacterium. RNAcentral's name for it is "bacterial SSU rRNA". It matches the Rfam family "Bacterial small subunit ribosomal RNA", at positions 58 to 772 of the family's 1533-position model. The record is from RNAcentral. Lineage: Bacteria; Pseudomonadati; Pseudomonadota.